RNAcentral lists this unclassified non-coding RNA (243 nucleotides) under air metagenome. Its description in RNAcentral is "partial contains small subunit ribosomal RNA, internal transcribed spacer 1, and 5.8S ribosomal RNA". The stretch from base 1 to 46 matches the Rfam family "Eukaryotic small subunit ribosomal RNA", at positions 1786 to 1831 of the family's 1831-position model. The record is from RNAcentral.
AAGUCGUAACAAGGUUUCCGUAGGUGAACCUGCGGAAGGAUCAUUAAUGAGAUAGGGUCUUCCAGGCCCGAACCUCCAACCCCAUGUCUACCUACCUUUGUUGCUUUGGCGGGCCCGUGGGGCAACCCACCGCCGGCUCCGGCUGGCCAGCGCCCGUCAGAGGACCUUCAAACUCUUGUUUAUCAGUGACGUCUGAGUACUAUACAAUAGUUAAAACUUUCAACAACGGAUCUCUUGGUUCUG